AUUGAACGCUGGCGGCAUGCUUUACACAUGCAAGUCGAACGGUAACAGGCCGCGAGGUGCUGACGAGUGGCGGACGGGUGAGUAAUGCAUCGGAACGGGCCCAGUCGUGGGGGAUAACUACUCGAAAGAGUAGCUAAUACCUCAUACGAUCUAUGAGUGAAAGCGGGGGACCGUAAGGCCUAGCGCGAUUGGAGCGGCCGAUGUCAGAUUAGGUAGGUGGUGGGUUAAAGUCGCACCAAGCCAAGGACCGGUAGCUGGCCUGAGAGGACGACCAGCCACACUGGGACUGAGACACGGCCCAGCCUCCUACGGGAGGAAGCAGUGGGGAAUUUUGGACAAUGGGCGCAAGCCUGAUCCAGCAAUGCCGCGUGCAGGAAGAAGGCCUUCGGGUUGUAAACUGCUUUUGUACGGAACGAAACGGCUCUGGUUAAUACCCGCGGAUAAUGACGGUACCGUAAGAAUAAGCACCGGCUAACUACGUG
RNAcentral lists this ribosomal RNA (482 nucleotides) under uncultured bacterium. RNAcentral's name for it is "partial 16S ribosomal RNA". It matches the Rfam family "Bacterial small subunit ribosomal RNA", at positions 30 to 507 of the family's 1533-position model. The record is from RNAcentral.